AAAAUAUUAAGUUAUUAAAAACUAAAAAUUUUCAAAAUUUUUAAAAAGAAUUUUUUCUUAUAUUUUU
Molecule: transfer RNA, 67 nt
Filed under: Gynaikothrips ficorum
Lineage: Eukaryota; Metazoa; Arthropoda; Insecta; Thysanoptera; Phlaeothripidae
Description: tRNA-Trp
Source: RNAcentral